UUACACAGGCCUUGUGUUUCCUGUGAGUAUGGUAAGAAAUAAGAAAUUAGCUAUUUGUAUUUUCUGCCUAAAAUCUGUGGUAGCAGGCAGCAUCAAACCAAACAAGUUAAAAUGGCACCUGGGAAUCUAUCGACGAGCACCUGGACUUUUUUCAACAAAACCUCACUUUUUGAAGUUCAGGGAUUUUAGAGAAGAUUGGAGCUGACAGCCUUGUCUGUUUGUCUUGCCACACGCUGUCUGCUCAGCAGGAGAUGCAGAGAGGACACCUCGUCACCCUUUAGCUGCCAUAAUUUCUCUUGCUGCUUGUUGUGAUUGAAUAACUGACUGGAUGGAUUUGCAAGUGCCAGGUAAAUACAGGAUGGAUGAUGAGAAUCUUCUGCAGACCUUUCAAGAUAAAACUGUAGCUCAAAAUAUUUGCUCAAAGACCAAAGUUGGUGUUUGUGGUAUAUCAGGUUUGUUCCAAAAACCAGGCAGAAGGAUGUCAGCAGCAAAGACCUCCAGAAAGAUUUUAAUUGGAUGACGUCACUUAAACAACAAUUAAUAAUGCCAAGUGAGAAUCAGAAAUGGUGGAGGAACAAAACACAAAACUACAGCUCUUUCUGAAGUUUUGGAAAUUAUUAUUGUUUUUUUAUUUAUUUUUUUGCAAAUGGAAACUUUACAAAAGAGGGAGUUGCAGAUUUUAUCUUUGAGGUCUGUGACCUUCAAAGAAACCAGAUUCCUUUACAUCAAACAUUCUGUCAUCUUUAUAAAGAAAACAAAUUGAUUCUGCUGUUUUUGCACAAGGGAAGAAACACUUUCAACAGUUUUGUCGUCAUCUGAAGUGGAUGAAUGCGGGACAAAAAGAAAAAAUCCUUUCUGAGGAUAUUUUUGUCAGCAUAACUGGAAGAACACAUUCACAAUGAAUCACAUGAGUCGGAUGACUUAAUACCAGAUCUAGCUGACUUUGGGGAGUCAUCUGACACUGACAUUACUGAACAGGUUUGUUUCAAUACAUAUUUGGAGAAGAGGAAAAC
This is a long non-coding RNA of Gambusia affinis (western mosquitofish), 1013 nucleotides long. RefSeq lists it as uncharacterized. NCBI's taxonomy places the organism in Eukaryota, Metazoa, Chordata, Actinopteri, Cyprinodontiformes, Poeciliidae. The transcript has 4 exons. The record is from RefSeq and is a predicted model, not a curated record.